Molecule: ribosomal RNA, 692 nt
Filed under: uncultured Actinomycetes bacterium
Lineage: Bacteria; Bacillati; Actinomycetota; Actinomycetes
Description: bacterial SSU rRNA
Rfam family: Bacterial small subunit ribosomal RNA
Source: RNAcentral
AACGAAAAACCCUCCUUGGGUAACCAAAGAGGAAUUUUUAGUGGCGAACGGGUGAGUAACACGUGAGAAACCUGCCCCGGAGACCGGGAUAGCCCAGGGAAACCUGGAUUAAUACCGGAUAUCCCUCCAUUGGUCGCAUGUCCGAUGGAGGAAAUGGUCCGCCGCUCCGGGAUGGUCUCGCGACCUAUCAGCUUGUUGGUGAGGUAACGGCUCACCAAGGCAACGACGGGUAGCUGGUCUGAGAGGACGAUCAGCCACACUGGGACUGAGACACGGCCCAGACUCCUACGGGAGGCAGCAGCAGGGAAUAUUGCACAAUGGGCGAAAGCCUGAUGCAGCGACGCCGCGUGGGGGAUGAAUGCCUUCGGGUUGUAAACCCCUUUCAGGAGGGACGAAGCGAAAGUGACGGUACCUCCAGAAGAAGCCCCGGCCAACUACGUGCCAGCAGCCGCGGUAAUACGUAGGGGGCGAGCGUUGUCCGGAUUUAUUGGGCGUAAAGAGCUCGUAGGCGGCUCAGCAAGUCGGCCGUGAAAGCCUGAGGCUCAACCUCAGGACGCCGGUCGAAACUGCUGUGGCUAGGGUCCGGUAGAGGAGAGUGGAAUUCCCGGUGUAGCGGUGAAAUGCGCAGAUAUCGGGAGGAACACCAGUAGCGAAGGCGGCUCUCUGGGCCGGUACCGACGCUGAGGAGCGAA